This 317-nucleotide ribosomal RNA is filed under the name uncultured bacterium. RNAcentral's name for it is "bacterial SSU rRNA". It matches the Rfam family "Bacterial small subunit ribosomal RNA", at positions 28 to 334 of the family's 1533-position model. The record is from RNAcentral.
GAUGAACGCUAGCUACAGGCUUAACACAUGCAAGUCGAGGGGCAGCAUUUCAGUUUGCUUGCAAACUGGAGAUGGCGACCGGCGCACGGGUGAGUAACACGUAUCCAACCUGCCGAUAACUCGGGGAUAGCCUUGCGAAAGUAAGAUUAAUACCCGGCGGUCUCGGAUGGCCGCAUGACAGUCCGAGUGAAGAUUUAUCGGUAUGAGAUGGCGAUGCGUCCCAUUAGCUUGUUGGUGAGGUAACGGCUCACCAAGGCAUCGAUGGGUAGGGGUUCUGAGAGGAAGGUCCCCCACAUUGGGACUGAGACACGGCCCAG